UGGGGAAUUUUGGACAAUGGGCGAAAGCCUGAUCCAGCAAUGCCGCGUGUGUGAAGAAGGCCUUCGGGUUGUAAAGCACUUUUGUCCGGAAAGAAAUCCUUGGCUCUAAUACAGUCGGGGGAUGACGGUACCGGAAGAAUAAGCACCGGCUAACUACGUGCCAGCAGCCGCGGUAAUACGUAGGGUGCAAGCGUUAAUCGGAAUUACUGGGCGUAAAGCGUGCGCAGGCGGUUUGCUAAGACCGAUGUGAAAUCCCCGGGCUCAACCUGGGGAAACUGCAUUGGGUGACUGGCAGGCUAGAGUAUGGCAGAGGGGGGUAGAAUUCCACGUGUAGCAGUGAAAUGCGUAGAGAUGUGGGGGAAUACCGAUGGCGAAGGCAGCCCCCUGGGCCAAUACUGACGCUCAUGCACGAAAGCGUGGGGAGCAAACAGGAUUAGAUACCCUGGUAGUCCACGCCCUAAACGAUGUCAACUAGUUGUUGGGGAUUCAUUUCCUUAGUAACGUAGCUAACGCGUGAAGUUGACCGCCUGGGGAGUACGGUCGCAAGAUUAAAACUCAAA
Molecule: ribosomal RNA, 560 nt
Filed under: uncultured bacterium
Lineage: Bacteria
Description: partial 16S ribosomal RNA
Rfam family: Bacterial small subunit ribosomal RNA
Source: RNAcentral